AUUGAACGCUGGCGGCAUGCCUUACACAUGCAAGUCGAACGGCAGCACGGGAGCUUGCUCCUGGUGGCGAGUGGCGAACGGGUGAGUAAUGCAUCGGAACGUACCCGGAAGUGGGGGAUAACGUAGCGAAAGUUACGCUAAUACCGCAUAUUCUGUGAGCAGGAAAGAGGGGGAUCGUAAGACCUCUCGCUUUCGGAGCGGCCGAUGUCGGAUUAGCUAGUUGGUGGGGUAAAGGCCUACCAAGGCGACGAUCCGUAGCGGGUCUGAGAGGAUGAUCCGCCACACUGGAACUGAGACACGGUCCAGACUCCUACGGGAGGCAGCAGUGGGGAAUUUUGGACAAUGGGCGAAAGCCUGAUCCAGCCAUGCCGCGUGAGUGAAGAAGGCCUUCGGGUUGUAAAGCUCUCUCGGCUGAAAAGAAAUCGCACAGGCUAAUACCUUGUGUGGAUGACGGAAUCAGCAUAAGAAGCACCGGCUAACUACGUGCCAGCCGCCGCAGUAA
RNAcentral lists this ribosomal RNA (502 nucleotides) under uncultured bacterium. Its description in RNAcentral is "partial 16S ribosomal RNA". It matches the Rfam family "Bacterial small subunit ribosomal RNA", at positions 30 to 523 of the family's 1533-position model. The record is from RNAcentral.